GCCUUAGUAACGGCGAGUGAAGCGGCAACAGCUCAAAUUUGAAAUCUGGCCCCAGGCCCGAGUUGUAAUUUGCAGAGGAUGCUUUUGGCGCGGUGCCUUCCGAGUUCCCUGGAACGGGACGCCAUAGAGGGUGAGAGCCCCGUCUGGUUGGAUACCAAGCCUUUGUAAAGCUCCUUCGACGAGUCGAGUAGUUUGGGAAUGCUGCUCUAAAUGGGAGGUAUAUGUCUUCUAAAGCUAAAUACCGGCCAGAGACCGAUAGCGCACAAGUAGAGUGAUCGAAAGAUGAAAAGCACUUUGGAAAGAGAGUUAAACAGCACGUGAAAUUGUUAAAAGGGAAGCGUUUAUGACCAGACUUGGGCCGGUUAAUCAUCCAGCGUUCUCGCUGGUGCACUUUGCCGGUCCAGGCCAGCAUCAGUUCGCUGCGGGGGAUAAAGGCGUCGGGAAUGUGGCUCCUCUGGAGUGUUAUAGCCCUUCGCGCAAUACCCUGCGGUGGACUGAGGUUCGCGCAUCUGCAAGGAUGCUGGCGUAAUGGUCAUCAACGACCCGUCUUGAAACACGGACCAAGGAGUCGUCUUCGUAUGCGAGUGUUCGGGUGUAAAACCCCUACGCGUAAUGAAAGUGAACGCAGGUGAGAGCUUCGGCGCAUCAUCGACCGAUCCUGAUGUUCUCGGAUGGAUUUGAGUAAGAGCAUACGGGGCCGGACCCGAAAGAAGGUGAACUAUGCCUGUAUAGGGUGAAGCCAGAGGAAACUCUGGUGGAGGCUCGCAGCGGUUCUGACGUGCAAAUCGAUCGUCAAAUAUGGGCAUGGGGGCGAAAGACUAAU
Molecule: ribosomal RNA, 823 nt
Filed under: Stachybotrys chartarum
Lineage: Eukaryota; Fungi; Ascomycota; Sordariomycetes; Hypocreales; Stachybotryaceae
Description: partial large subunit ribosomal RNA
Rfam family: Eukaryotic large subunit ribosomal RNA
Source: RNAcentral